RNAcentral lists this ribosomal RNA (691 nucleotides) under Variovorax ginsengisoli. RNAcentral's name for it is "bacterial SSU rRNA". It matches the Rfam family "Bacterial small subunit ribosomal RNA", at positions 89 to 776 of the family's 1533-position model. Lineage: Bacteria; Pseudomonadati; Pseudomonadota; Betaproteobacteria; Burkholderiales; Comamonadaceae. The record is from RNAcentral.
UGGCGAGUGGCGAACGGGUGAGUAAUACAUCGGAACGUGCCCAAUCGUGGGGGAUAACGCAGCGAAAGCUGUGCUAAUACCGCAUAAGAUCUACGGAUGAAAGCAGGGGAUCGCAAGACCUUGCGCGAAUGGAGCGGCCGAUGGCAGAUUAGGUAGUUGGUGAGGUAAAGGCUCACCAAGCCUUCGAUCUGUAGCUGGUCUGAGAGGACGACCAGCCACACUGGGACUGAGACACGGCCCAGACUCCUACGGGAGGCAGCAGUGGGGAAUUUUGGACAAUGGGCGAAAGCCUGAUCCAGCCAUGCCGCGUGCAGGAUGAAGGCCUUCGGGUUGUAAACUGCUUUUGUACGGAACGAAAAGUCUCUUUCUAAUAAAGAGGGAUCAUGACGGUACCGUAAGAAUAAGCACCGGCUAACUACGUGCCAGCAGCCGCGGUAAUACGUAGGGUGCAAGCGUUAAUCGGAAUUACUGGGCGUAAAGCGUGCGCAGGCGGUUAUAUAAGACAGUUGUGAAAUCCCCGGGCUCAACCUGGGAACUGCAUCUGUGACUGUAUAGCUAGAGUACGGUAGAGGGGGAUGGAAUUCCGCGUGUAGCAGUGAAAUGCGUAGAUAUGCGGAGGAACACCGAUGGCGAAGGCAAUCCCCUGGACCUGUACUGACGCUCAUGCACGAAAGCGUGGGGAGCAAACAGG